Molecule: ribosomal RNA, 253 nt
Filed under: uncultured archaeon
Lineage: Archaea
Description: partial 16S ribosomal RNA
Rfam family: Archaeal small subunit ribosomal RNA
Source: RNAcentral
AACCAGCACCUCAAGUUGUCAGGAGGAUUAUUGGGCCUAAAGCAUCCGUAGCCGGCUCUGUUAGUUUUCGGUUAAAUCCAUAUGCUCAACAUAUGGGCUGUCGGGAAUACUGCAGAGCUAGGGAAUGGGAGAGGUAGACGGUACUCGGUAGGAAGGGGUAAAAUCCUUUGAUCUAUCGAUGACCACCUGUGGCGAAGGCGGCUAGCUGGGCCGGAUCUGACGCUCAUCCGCGAAAGCGUGGGGAGCAAACAGG